UACAGAGGGUGCAAACGUUGCUCGGAAUUACUGGGCGUAAAGGGCGCGUAGGCGGCCUGUUAAGUCGAACGUGAAAUCCCCGGGCUCAACCCGGGAACUGCGUCCGAUACUGGCAGGCUUGAAUUCGGGAGAGGGAUGCGGAAUUCCAGGUGUAGCGGUGAAAUGCGUAGAUAUCUGGAGGAACACCGGUGGCGAAGGCGGGUCUCUGGGCCGAUACUGACGCUGAGGAGCGAAAGCGUGGGGAGCGAACAGG
Molecule: ribosomal RNA, 253 nt
Filed under: uncultured bacterium
Lineage: Bacteria
Description: partial 16S ribosomal RNA
Rfam family: Bacterial small subunit ribosomal RNA
Source: RNAcentral